This 559-nucleotide ribosomal RNA is filed under the name Naganishia albida. RNAcentral describes it as "partial large subunit ribosomal RNA". It matches the Rfam family "Eukaryotic large subunit ribosomal RNA", at positions 84 to 648 of the family's 3401-position model. The record is from RNAcentral. Lineage: Eukaryota; Fungi; Basidiomycota; Tremellomycetes; Filobasidiales; Filobasidiaceae.
UAACGGCGAGUGAAGCGGGAAGAGCUCAAAUUUGAAAUCUGGUAGCCUUCGGUUGCCCGAGUUGUAAUCUAGAGAAGUGUUUUCCGUGCCGGCCCAUGUACAAGUCCCUUGGAACAGGGCGUCAUAGAGGGUGAGAAUCCCGUCCUUGACAUGGACCCCCGGUGCUUUGUGAUACACUUUCAACGAGUCGAGUUGUUUGGGAAUGCAGCUCAAAAUGGGUGGUGAAUUCCAUCUAAAGCUAAAUAUUGGCGAGAGACCGAUAGCGAACAAGUACCGUGAGGGAAAGAUGAAAAGCACUUUGGAAAGAGAGUUAAACAGUACGUGAAAUUGUUGAAAGGGAAACGAUUGAAGUCAGUCAUGCUCUUGGGACUUACCUCCCUUGAGUGGGGUCAACAUCAGUUUUGAUCGAUGGAUAAAGGCACGGGGAAGGUAGCACUCUCGGGUGAACUUAUAGCCUCGCGUCAUAUACAUUGAUUGGGACUGAGGAACGCAGCAUGCCUUAUGGCCGGGAUUCGUCCACGUACAUGCUUAGGAUGUUGACAUAAUGGCUUUAAACGAC